UACGGGGGGGGCAAGCGUUGUUCGGAAUUACUGGGCGUAAAGCGCGUGUAGGCUGCCCCGCAAGUCAGGUGUGAAAGCCUGGGCUCAACCUAGGAAGUGCACUUGAAACUGCGGGGAUCGAGGGCUGGAGAGGGAAGCGGAAUUCUCGGUGUAGAGGUGAAAUUCGUAGAUAUCGAGAGGAACACCGGUGGCGAAGGCGGCUUCCUGGACAGUUACUGACGCUGAGACGCGAAAGCGUGGGGAGCAAACAGG
RNAcentral lists this ribosomal RNA (252 nucleotides) under uncultured bacterium. RNAcentral's name for it is "partial 16S ribosomal RNA". It matches the Rfam family "Bacterial small subunit ribosomal RNA", at positions 524 to 776 of the family's 1533-position model. The record is from RNAcentral.